This is a long non-coding RNA of Mustela lutreola (European mink), 2490 nucleotides long. RefSeq lists it as uncharacterized. Lineage: Eukaryota; Metazoa; Chordata; Mammalia; Carnivora; Mustelidae. The transcript is spliced from 3 exons. The record is from RefSeq and is a predicted model, not a curated record.
CACGGCGUCGCCAGCCGGCGCCGGAGCGCGAGCCGAGCCUUCUUCAAGUUCCAUCUUCCGGAUCGGGUUCCGGCAUUCUGGGAGAGAGGGAAGGCUACUGCAGCCAAAAAACUGGGAGAGGAGAAGGCUGCAGGAAAAGUAACACAAUGUGAUCUCUACACCCCACAUGGGAACUCACAAGAUCAAGAGUGGCAUGCUCUUCAACCCAACCAGGCAGGCGUCCCUUGUAACUCCUUUUUCACUACUGUGACCAGGUAAAUAAGGCGUUUGCUCAAAAUUGAAACUGACUAAAAGGUUGCAAAAUCUAAAUUUUCCUCCCAUUCCUGUCUCUCGGGGCGGGGGUGAGGGGGCUAUUUCCCUUGGAUAGCAAUGCGCCAUUUUAGCAGGUUCUUCUCUUUCCUCCCAGAGAUUCUCCGCAUGUAGGUAUCCAUACACUUACUUGAAUAUAUAUGUGUAUGGCUGUAUUAUAUAAACUGUAGCACACAAAUCCUUUAGCACCUGACUUCCUCCACUUAAAUACAGUGUAUGUCCUAGAGAUUAUUCAGCAUAGUGUUACAUAGAGCUGCUUCUUUUUUUAAUGGCUGUCUGCAUGUGCACCAUGUUAUGUAUCAUAAUAGGUGAUGUUUGACUUGUUCCCUAUUGAUGGCCAAUUAGUUUUCCCCUGAUAAUGUUGCUUUUAAAACAAAUCUGCUGCAAAUCAAUUUGUAUGCAAGUCAUCCGAUAAAUGUGCCAGUAUGUCUGUAGGAAGGAUUCUUAGAAGAAUGUGACUGUUCAGUUUGGAUAGUGCGAAAUCGUGCUCCGUAGAAGUGGUGCCAGUCCUACCCACCAGCAGUGUGUGGGCAUCUGCUACCCUCCAUCAUUGGGCCUGGGUGUUGUCACACUUUUUCUUCUCUGCUUAUCCUAUAUGGAAAGAGGGGUUUCUUAGCAUAUGUUUUAUUAUAUAUAUUUUAAUAUGAAGGUGGUUUGGUAAGUGUGAGAUCUAGAUUUCAUUUUUCUGUGAAAUGUCCGAUCAUAUACUUUGCCCAAUUUCUGUUUUGUUCUUUUUUCCCCCUCGAUUGCAUUAUGUAACCCUUUCUCCACGGUAUGAAUUGCUAAUGUAUUUUUUCUUCCUUUGUCUUUUACUCUUUUGACUUGAUAGUGAUUUUUUUUCCAAGUGGAAAUACUAAUUGAUGGCUGUUGGCAUUUUUAGCUUCUAGCUUUUGAAUCAUUCGUAGAAAUGCCAUCCUCACUUUGAGUUUCUGUUUUUAUGGUUUUAUUUUUUACAUUUAAAUCUUUCAUCCAUUUGGAGUUUAUUUUGAUAAAAAGUGUGAGGUAUGAAUCUUAGCCCUGCCCACCAUUGGCUACUUAGCUGCCCAAUACCACUCACUGAAAAAUGGAUUAUUCCUGUAUUGAUUUGAAACACUACUGUUCUCAUACACUAAAUUUCUGUUUUCUUUUCUUUUCCGUUGAUCCAUCUCUGCAUUCCCAGCAACUAAACUAAGUUGUUACAGCUUCAUAAUAUGUAAAAAUACCCAGAAGGGCUGGUCUCCCCUUUACUCUGUCUUUCUUUUUUUAAGUAGGUCCCGUGCCCAUCAAGGAGCUUGAACUCAUGACUCUGAGAUCUGGAGUCACAUGCUCCUCCAACUGAGCCAGGCAGGCAUCCCUCUAUUUUUCUUUUUAUUGUUAGAUUUUUUCCUAGCUAUUUUUGCCAGAUUCCAUUUCCAAAUGAACAUUAGAAUCAGAUUGUCUGGAUGAAAAUUCAACAGAAAUCCUGUUGGCAUAGCUUUUCUCCCUCUCUUCUCUCUGUCCCCAUUCCCAUCCCCCGUUUCUCUCCCUUCCUCCUUCCCUCCCACCCUCCUCUCUCUUCCUUCCUUCCUUCUCUUUUUUCUUUCAGGAAGGAGUGGGAGGGGCAGAGCAGGAGAGAGAGAGACAAAAUCUUAAGCAGGUUCCACACCCUGCAGGGAGCUGAUGCAAGGCUUUAUCUCAUAACCCUUAGAUCCUGACAUGAGCGGAAACCAAGAAUUGGUUGCUCAACUCACUGAACUACCGAGGUGCUCCCCACCAACAGUUAUUUUUAAAGGGACGUGGGGGGUGCCUGGGUGGCUCAGUGGGUUAAGCCUUUGCCUUCGGCUUGGGUCAUGAUCCCAGGGACCUGGGAUCGAGCCCCACAUUGGGCUCUCUGCUCGGCAGGGAGCCUGCUUCCUCCUCUCUCUCUCUCUGCCUGCCUCUCUGCCUACUUGUGAUCUCUGUCAAAUAAAUAAAUAAAAUCUUUAAAAAAAUUAAAGGGAAGAGGGAGGGCAUGAGGAGGGAAGCAAAAAAUGCAUGAGGGAGGUUGAAAGGGUUCUUAUUUCUCUGCAUCCUCAGCAACACUUGUUAUUCUUUUUUUAAAUUUUAUUUAUUAUUAUUAUUAUUAUUUUUUUAAAAGAUUUUAUUUAUUUAUUUGAGAGAGAGACAGUGAGAGAGAGCAUGAGUGAGGAGAAGGUCAGAGAGAGAAGCAGACUCCCCAUGGAG